CCUACGGGUGGCAGCAGUGAGGAAUAUUGCACAAUGGGGGGAACCCUGAUGCAGCGACGCCGCGUGAGUGAAGAAGUCCUUCUGUAUGUAAAGCUCUUUCAGCAGGGCAGAAAAUGACGGUACCUGACUAGGAAGCCCCGGCUAACUCCGUGCCAGCAGCCGCGGUAAUACGUAGGGGGCAGGCGUUCUCCGGAUUUACUGGGUGUAAAGGGAGCGUAGACGGUGAUGCAAGUCAGAAGUGAAAGCACGGGGCUCAACCCCGGGACUGCUUUUGAAACUGUGUGACUGGAGUGCAGGUGCGGUAGGCGGAAUUCGUGGUGUAGCGGUGAAAUGCGUAGAUAUCAGGAGGAACACCGGUGGCGAAGGCGGCUUACUGGACCGUAACUGACGUUGAGGCUCGAAAGCGUGGGGAGCAAACAGGAUUAGAUACCCCGGUAGUC
Molecule: ribosomal RNA, 440 nt
Filed under: uncultured bacterium
Lineage: Bacteria
Description: partial 16S ribosomal RNA
Rfam family: Bacterial small subunit ribosomal RNA
Source: RNAcentral